Molecule: small nucleolar RNA, 86 nt
Organism: Artibeus jamaicensis (Jamaican fruit-eating bat)
Lineage: Eukaryota; Metazoa; Chordata; Mammalia; Chiroptera; Phyllostomidae
Product: small nucleolar RNA SNORD35
Exons: 1
Source: RefSeq, a predicted model, not a curated record
AGCAGAUGAUGGCUUUUCCUCAUGACGGUCUGUGGAAGCCACCAUGGGCAGUGCCGAUGAUGCCAAUGGUUUAGCUAUGCCCGGAG